RNAcentral lists this ribosomal RNA (636 nucleotides) under uncultured soil bacterium. RNAcentral's name for it is "bacterial SSU rRNA". It matches the Rfam family "Bacterial small subunit ribosomal RNA", at positions 153 to 771 of the family's 1533-position model. The record is from RNAcentral.
GAAACGGUUGCUAAUACCGCAUAAUGCAGCGGCAUCUAUGAUGACAGUUGUUAAAGCGGGGGAUCGCAAGACCUCGCGCCUGAAGAGAAGUCCGCGGCAGAUUAGCUAGUUGGUAGGGUAAUGGCCUACCAAGGCGACGAUCUGUAGCCGGCCUGAGAGGGCGGUCGGCCACACUGACACUGACAUACGGGUCAGACUCCUACGGGAGGCAGCAGUCGGGAAUUUUGGGCAAUGGGCGAAAGCCUGACCCAGCAACGCCGCGUGAAGGAUGAAGUUUUUCGGAAUGUAAACUUCACAAGAAUGGGAAGAAUAAGUUGAGGCUAAUACCCUCGGCGAUGACGGUACCAUUUGUAAGCUCCGGCUAACUCCGUGCCAGCAGCCGCGGUAAUACGGGGGGAGCAAGCGUUGUUCGGAUUUACUGGGCGUAAAGGGCGCGUAGGCGGCGCCGCAAGUCACUUGUGAAAUCUCCGGGCUCAACUCGGAACGGCCAAGUGAUACUGCGGUGCUAGAGUGCGGAAGGGGCAACUGGAAUUCUUGGUGUAGCGGUGAAAUGCGUAGAUAUCAAGAGGAACACCUGCGGCGAAGGCGGGUUGCUGGGCCGACACUGACGCUGAGGCGCGAAAGCUAGGGGAGCGA